RNAcentral lists this ribosomal RNA (253 nucleotides) under uncultured bacterium. RNAcentral describes it as "partial 16S ribosomal RNA". It matches the Rfam family "Bacterial small subunit ribosomal RNA", at positions 524 to 776 of the family's 1533-position model. The record is from RNAcentral.
UACGUAGGGGGCAAGCGUUGUCCGGAAUUAUUGGGCGUAAAGCGCGUGUAGGCGGUCCGGUAAGUCGGUUGUGAAAGUCCAGGGCUCAACCCUGGGAUGCCGACCGAUACUGUCGGACUAGAGUUCGGAAGAGGCGAGUGGAAUUCCCGGUGUAGCGGUGAAAUGCGCAGAUAUCGGGAGGAACACCAAUGGCGAAGGCAGCUCGCUGGGACGUUACUGACGCUGAGGAGCGAAAGCGUGGGGAGCAAACAGG